Molecule: transfer RNA, 75 nt
Filed under: Klebsiella pneumoniae
Lineage: Bacteria; Pseudomonadati; Pseudomonadota; Gammaproteobacteria; Enterobacterales; Enterobacteriaceae
Description: tRNA-Gln
Rfam family: tRNA
About the family: Transfer RNA (tRNA) molecules are approximately 80 nucleotides in length. Their secondary structure includes four short double-helical elements and three loops (D, anti-codon, and T loops).
Source: RNAcentral
AGGGGUAUCGCCAAGCGGUAAGGCACCGGAUUUUGAUACCGGCAUUCCCUGGUUCGAAUCCAGGUACCCCAGCCA